GCGUGCCAAACUAUAUACAUAUUAGUUUCUCUUUACAGUAAACUACCAUGUAUGGUUUAUAUGAAAGCGAAACAUCAGAGAUGGUUUGAGACAUGUGAUGUGCAAAGAAUGUGCCAUAAUGAAUGUCAACAUAGAAGUAAGCCAUCAGGAAUGUGGUAGCAGAUCUGCAUAAAAGCACUGUGCGAUGCACCAUCUCUUCAUUGUUUUGUUCUUUAGCUUCUGUUUACAUCAUCGUGAUGGCAGCAGCAGUUUUGGCCAGAAGCAGAGGGGUGGCUGUUUUCAGCAUCAACAAAGGCCUGUUCCUCAUGUCCACCCUGCUGUGUCUGAUUUGCCUUUCAGCUUCACUGACAAACAAGAACCAACUGUUCCAGGAAAAGCUCAAGGAAAGUUACAAGAAAGCACAACAGGAAAUUGAUAAACUGAUGGAGUACAAGUCAGACAUGUUGAAAGCUUCAGAGCUGGUAGAUGAUUAUCUGGCUGUCAUCGACCCAGUGAUAGCAGUGUUCAAGAAAACUGAUGCGCUGGUUGGUGAAACAGAUCCUGACACAGAUAUGGAGGACCUUAAGGUUUCCAUGGAAGAAACCAAAGCUGAAAUAGACCUCAUAAAUGAAGAGCUUGAUGAAGGAAUUACAUUGAAGGAAAAGCAACUAAGAAAGAUGAAGACAUUGAUCGAAUACAUUGAGGAGCAGCACACUGAACUGUAACUUUUAUGUAAACCGAUAAAAGUUAUGAUUCACAUGUGCUGCACACCUUUUACUAGAACUUCCUUUGAAACUAUGAAUUAUUUUUGCCUGUUUGAAAACUUGUAGUGAAUACAUUGAUACAAUUUAAAUACAACUAUCAAAAUAUUUGAAAAUAUAAACAAUGUCAAUGUAAAAUAAUACAAAAUAAAAACAUUUACUUUAUAUUGAUAUUCUGUUACUUAUGUCAGCGACAGACAAAACUAAUGACAGACAUCUUGACCUGGCAUAGGUUCAAUUGUCCUGGUAAGGCAUGAAAGUGAACUGCUCCCAAACAGAAUAUUUUUUCUGAAAUCUCUACGCCAUAAAUACAUUCCUGUUUUUGUCUUCUGUAAUGUCAGCUAUGAAAAUGGUCUAUACAUGAAUAACUAAGUUUUGUCUUCUAUAUUAGAUAAUAGAAACUGGGAUAAAUUAUAGGGUUUGUCUUCUUUUUAAGAAAUUGUUAAAACAUUCUGUACAUGAUUAGAUAAAUGCAUCUGUUCUGUGAAUAAAUGAAGGUUUCUUUAAAUUGUCUUACAUGUCUUUGAAAGACUGAAAUCCGCAACAGAUUGCAAAUCUAAAUCUAUGUUAGCUUAAGCCAUCUGAUCAGACCACUGAGGCUUGAGGGGAAAGCAAGAAGAAAGAAGAGAAAG
Molecule: long non-coding RNA, 1372 nt
Filed under: Oreochromis niloticus (Nile tilapia)
Lineage: Eukaryota; Metazoa; Chordata; Actinopteri; Cichliformes; Cichlidae
Description: lncRNA (ENSONIG00000025789.2)
Source: RNAcentral